RNAcentral lists this ribosomal RNA (292 nucleotides) under uncultured bacterium. RNAcentral describes it as "partial 16S ribosomal RNA". The record is from RNAcentral. RNAcentral also lists the same sequence under 2 other names.
GGACUACUCGGGUAUCUAAUCCCGUUUGCUCCCCUAGCUUUCGCGCCUCAGCGUCAGUAGUGGUCCAGCACGUCGCUUUCGCCACCGGCGUUCCUUCCGAUAUCAACGCAUUUCACCGCUCCACCGGAAGUUCCACAUGCCCCUACCACCCUCAAGACCACCAGUAUCCAAGGCUAUUUUCCGGUUAAGCCGAAAGAUUUCACCCCGGACUUGGUGACCCGCCUACGCGCCCUUUAAGCCCAGUGAUUCCGAACAACGUUAGGACGGUUCGUCUUACCGCGGCUGCUGGCAC